This 494-nucleotide ribosomal RNA is filed under the name uncultured bacterium. RNAcentral's name for it is "partial 16S ribosomal RNA". It matches the Rfam family "Bacterial small subunit ribosomal RNA", at positions 28 to 507 of the family's 1533-position model. The record is from RNAcentral.
GACGAACGCUGGCGGCGUGCUUAACACAUGCAAGUCGAACGGUGAAGCGCCUUCCUUUUUGGUGGGUGUGGAUGAGUGGCGAACGGGUGAGUAACACGUGAGUAACCUGCCCCCUUCUUCUGGAUAACCGCAUGAAAGUGUGGCUAAUACGGGAUAUUCUGGGUCUGUCGCAUGAUGGGUCUGGGAAAGAUGUUGUUUCGGUGGGGGAUGGGCUCGCGGCGUAUCAGCUUGUUGGUGGGGUGAUGGCCUAGCAGGGCGGUGAGGGGUAGCCGGCCUGGGAGGGUGGCCGGCCACAGUGGGACAGAGGCACGGCCGAGACUGCUACGGGGGGCAGCAGUGGGGGAUAGGGAACAAUGGGGGAAAGCGUGAUGCGGCGGCGCCGCGGGUGGGAUGGCGGCCUGCGGGUGAUGAACCUCUUUCGCUAGUGAAGCAGGCCUGCCUGGUUUGUGGGUGGGUUGACGGUAGCUGGAUAAGAAGCGCCGGCUAACUACGUG